CCUACGGGUGGCAGCAGUAGGGAAUCUUUCACAAUGGGCGAAAGCCUGAUGGAGCAACGCCGCGUGCAGGAUGAAGGCCUUCGGGUUGUAAACUGCUUUUAUAAGCGAGGAGUAUGAUGGUAACUUAUGAAUAUGAAUCGGCGAAAACCGUGGCAGCAGCCGCGGGCAUACGUAGGAUUCGAGAAUUUUCCGGAGUUACUGGGUGUAAAAAGUUGCGUAGGUGGGGUUAUAAGUAGCUAGUGGAAUCUGUUGGCUCAACCAUUCAGACUAUUAGCUAAACUGUUAAUCUCGAGACCGUUAGGGGUAACUGGAAUUUCUAGUGUAGGAGUGAAAUCCGUAGAUAUUAGAAGGAACACCAAUAGCGUAGGCAGGUUACUGGGACAGUUCUGACACUAAGGCACGAAAGCGUAGGGAGCAAACGGGAUUAGAUACCCCUGUAGUC
This 442-nucleotide ribosomal RNA is filed under the name uncultured bacterium. RNAcentral's name for it is "partial 16S ribosomal RNA". It matches the Rfam family "Bacterial small subunit ribosomal RNA", at positions 338 to 795 of the family's 1533-position model. The record is from RNAcentral.